UUAAACAAAAAGCUUGACACCAAACAGUUAACUCUUAAAGACUCCUUAGAAGGGCAUUUAAAAUGGAGAUAUAAUAAUCCUGACCAAAUUAAAGGAGAGCAAUUGUUGAUAUAUUGGCUUUGUGAUGCCUUAAAACCAUAUAAAACAGUCUCAAAUGACCAGUUCCUAAAAACUAUAAACCAUCUGUCAAAAAAAUUUAAAGUACCAUCAGAAAAAAUAUUUGAACAAAGCUUGUUCCAAACAUCAACAGAAGAGUUCAAUAUGCAGUAAAAUCAUUACUUGAUGCUACAGCAUAUGCUAUCACUACUGACAUUUGGACUUCUCCAAGUAAUGAUUCUUUUAUGUCAUUUACUGCUCAUUGGGUAACAGAAGACUUUAAAAAAAAAUUGCAGCCCUCAGAUGUACUUCAUUCAAAAUAUCUCAUACUGGUUGGAAUAUUUCAGAAGCUUUAAAGAACAUCUGUAAAGAUUGGGGACUAAAUAAUAUUCAUAUUGUUAUUAGAGAUAAUGCAAGCAAUAUGAUUUUAGCAACAAAAACUUUCUGGUUUUGAAAGCAUAGGCUGCUUUUGCCAUAUACUACAUUUAGUGGUACGAAACUCAAUAUAUGAGCAGAGUGGGAUCAAAAUAAUGCUAAUGAGAUUAAGAAAGCUGGGUAAAAAGUUGCGAAAAACCAAAGGCAAAAGCAAUACUUACCAAGUACCAGAGCCAAGCAUCAGUCCUACCUAAUGUCAUGAUACUUGAUUGUGAAACAAGAUGGGGGAGUACAUUUUUAAUGUUGGCUUGUGUAAUGCAACAAAAACAAGCUAUAAAACUUG
Hydra vulgaris (swiftwater hydra) is the source of this 814-nucleotide non-coding RNA. The record is from RefSeq and is a predicted model, not a curated record. Lineage: Eukaryota; Metazoa; Cnidaria; Hydrozoa; Anthoathecata; Hydridae.